AUGCUCUUUGCGGAUGAUGUGGUGCUAGUUGACGAUAGUCGGACAGGGGUAAAUAGGAAGUUAGAGUUAUGGAGACAACCCUUGGAAUCGAAAGGGUUUAGGCUUAGUAGAACUAAAACCGAGUACAUGAUGUGCGGUUUCAGUACUACUAGGUGUGAGGAGGAGGAGGUUAGCCUUGAUGGCCAGGUUGUACCUCGGAAGGACACCUUUCGGUAUUUGGGGUCAAUGUUGCAGGAGGAUGCGGGUAUUGAUGAAUAUGUGAACCAUCGAAUCAAAGCCGGAUGGAUGAAGUGGCCCCAAGCUUCUGGCAUUCUCUGUGACAAGAGAGUGCCACAAAAGCUAAAAGGCAAGUUCUAUAGGAUGGCGGUUUGA
This 372-nucleotide ribosomal RNA is filed under the name Triticum aestivum (bread wheat). Its description in RNAcentral is "partial small subunit ribosomal RNA". The record is from RNAcentral. Lineage: Eukaryota; Viridiplantae; Streptophyta; Magnoliopsida; Poales; Poaceae.